GGCGCAGGCGGCCUGGUAAGUCGAAUGUGAAAUCUCCCGGCUUAACUGGGAGGGGUCAUUCGAUACUAUCAAGCUGGAGUGCGACAGGGGGAGGUAGAAUUCCCGGUGUAGUGGUGAAAUGCGUAGAUAUCGGGAGGAAUACCAGUGGCGAAGGCGGCCUCCUGGGUCGUUACUGACGCUUAAGCCCGAAAGCGUGGGGAGCAAACAGGAUCAGAUACCCUGGUAGUCCACGCUGUAAACUAUGGACACUGGGUAUGGGGAGUAUCGACCCUCUCCGUGCCGAAGUUAACGCGUUAAGUGUCCCGUCUGGGAACUACGGCCGCAAGGCUAAA
RNAcentral lists this ribosomal RNA (332 nucleotides) under uncultured bacterium. Its description in RNAcentral is "bacterial SSU rRNA". It matches the Rfam family "Bacterial small subunit ribosomal RNA", at positions 568 to 898 of the family's 1533-position model. The record is from RNAcentral.